GGGCGGAAUAAUAGUUCACGUUUUUAAACUGAAGGCAUAUUCUUAAUGAUUUUUCCGUGGUCAGGGAUUGAAAGCCCACAACUUAGUUACCCAUGUGGAGCAAAGCGAAAAAAAAAAAAGUUUUAUAUCAGGUUUCUCAGUUUAGGCACCGUUAUUAUUUUGGGUCAGCCUACCCUUUGUUGUGAGGUCCUGUGCAUUGUAGGAUGUUUAACCCCAUUUCUAUUUUCUAUCCAUUAGUUGCCAGAAGGAUCAACAUCCAGUCAUGACAACCAAAAAUAUCUCCAGUCAUUGCCUAAUGCCCCCUGGGGGGCAACAUCUCCCUGGAUUGAAAAUCACUGCUUUAUAUCAACCUUAAUUUUGCUUUUGAACUUUUUGCUCCAAACUCUGUAGACAGCACAGUGGAUAGAAAUGAAAAAUUCAACUGAUACCCCAUGGUUCUCCUACCACCAGAUGCUACUGAGGCUAAACUGACUGGACUGAGGAAAAAUAUCUGUGGGGAAAACUGUCUUUCAGAAUCCAACUUUGAACCAGAGAAAUCCAUUCUCUUGAAGCUGUCUGCUGUGGAGAAGUUGGCCUUACCAAUCUGCCUUUGAAGUUCAAGUUAUACAGGAUCUGCGAGGCUACCUGUGAAUGAAUGGUUGGUUGGUCACUACUUGCAAGUUUUUCAGGAGCUCCUGAAAGAUUACUGCAUAAAUAAGGGAGGAUGGAGACCAGACCUCUGGCUACUGUUGCUGCCACCACCACAGCCACCACUUUCACCCUUAUGAACCCCCUAUUUACUGAACACUUUCUAUAUGCCAGAGCCUGUGUCAUUGGUCUUAGCCUUCAGGUGAUUGGAUCAGAGAAUGUAAUCAACUGCUCAAACCUGGCUUUAGUCAAAUCUAGACAAAAUAAAUUACAGGAUAGAGACAUCAUCUUAGAUUACCUUUCAAAAAUUGACACUCAAGACAGAGGAGAUUAGAAUUUUAUCUACCAAAUUAGUUG
Long non-coding RNA from Pan paniscus (pygmy chimpanzee), 984 nucleotides. Lineage: Eukaryota; Metazoa; Chordata; Mammalia; Primates; Hominidae. The record is from Ensembl.